This 405-nucleotide ribosomal RNA is filed under the name uncultured cyanobacterium. RNAcentral describes it as "bacterial SSU rRNA". It matches the Rfam family "Bacterial small subunit ribosomal RNA", at positions 351 to 769 of the family's 1533-position model. The record is from RNAcentral. Lineage: Bacteria; Bacillati; Cyanobacteriota.
CGAAUUGGGAAUUUUCCGCAACGGGGGAAAGCCUGAAGGAGCAAUACCGCGUGAGGGAUGAAUGCCUAUGGGUUGUAAACCUCUUUUUUCUGGGGGGAAAAAAAUGACGUGUUCCUGAAGAAUAAGCAUCGGCUAACUCCGGGCCAGCAGCCGCGGUAAGACCGAGGAGGCAAAAGUUUUCCGGAAUCACUGGGCGUAAAGCGUCUGUAGGUGGUCAAAUAAGUCAACUGUUAAAUCUUGAGGCUCAACCUCAAAAUUGCAGUAGAAACUAUUAGACUAGAGUAUGGUAGGGGUAAAGGGAAUUUCCAGUGGAGCGGUGAAAUGCGUAGAGAUUGGAAAGAACACCGAUGGCGAAGGCACUUUACUGGGCUAUUACUAACACUCAGAGACGAAAGCUAGGGUAGC